AGGAUGAACGCUGGCGGCGUGCCUAACACAUGCAAGUCGAACGUCCUGUCUCGCAAGAGGCAGGGAGUGGCGGACGGGUGAGUACCACGUGGGUCAUCUACCGUGAGGUGAGGAAUACCGGCGAGAAAUCGCCGACAAGACCGCAUAGGCUCGAUGCAAGUCGAGCAAAGCUCUUUCGAGAGAGGGAGCGCCACACGAGGAGCCUGCGCCCGAUUAGCUAGCUGGUGGAGUAACGGUUCACCAGGGCGACGAUCGGUAGCUGGUCUGAGAGGACGAUCAGCCACACUGGGAUUGAGAACGGCCCAGACUCCUACGGGGGCAGCAGUGAGGAAUUUUCGUCAAUGGGGGCAACCCUGAACGAGCAACGCCGCGUGCAGGAAGAAGGUUUCGGAUCGUAAACUGCUUUUCUCGGGGAAGAGAAUGGACGGUACCCGAGGAAUCGAGCCCCGGCUAACGUACGCGCCAGCAGCCGCGGU
RNAcentral lists this ribosomal RNA (476 nucleotides) under uncultured bacterium. RNAcentral's name for it is "SSU rRNA". It matches the Rfam family "Bacterial small subunit ribosomal RNA", at positions 26 to 521 of the family's 1533-position model. The record is from RNAcentral.